RNAcentral lists this non-coding RNA (782 nucleotides) under Asura megala. Lineage: Eukaryota; Metazoa; Arthropoda; Insecta; Lepidoptera; Erebidae. The record is from RNAcentral.
AAUAAUUUUUUUAUAGAUUAAAAAAUUUAUUAAAAAUUUAUUUUACAUAUAAAUUUUAGUUUAUUUAAAUUAUUUAAAAAAUAAUUUAUUAAAAAUGUAGUAAUUAAUAUUGAAUAUUUAAGGAAUUAAGAUUUAGUAAUAUGAUAUAAUUAAUAACAAAUUUUGUGCCAGCAGUUGCGGUUAAACAAAAAUUAAAUUAAAUUUUAUUAGUUAAUUAAAUAAUAAGUGAAAUUAUAUAAUUAAAAAAUUAAAUUAUUAAGUGAAAUUUUAAUUUAAUAAAAUAUUAUAAAAUUUUUAUGUUUUAAUAAAUUUUUUUUAAGACUAGGAUUAGAUACCCUAUUAUGAAAAUUUUAAAUUUUAAUACUAAAAUAGUAGAUUAUAAAUAUUGAAACUUAAAUAAUUUGGCGGUAUUUUAGUUCAUUUAGAGGAAUCUGUUUAUUAAUUGAUAAUCCACGAAUAAAUUUACUUAAUUUUUAAUUUUGUAUAUCGUUGUUAAAAAAAUAUUUUAUAAUAAAAAUAAUAUUUAAAAAUUAUUAAUAAAAUUAAAUCAGAUCAAGAUGCAGAUUAUAAUUAAGAAUAUAAUGGAUUACAAUAAAUUUAUUUAAAUGAAUAUUAAUAUGAAAUUUUUAAUUGAAAUUGGAUUUAAAUGUAAUUUUUUUUUUAUUUUAUAGAAAUGAUUAUAAAUUAAAAUAUGUACAUAUUGCCCGUCGCUUUCAUAUAAAUAUUUAAAUUGAAAUAAGUCGUAACAAAGUAGAGGUACUGGAAAGUGUUUCUAGAAAGAU